CAAGGGGUCGCUGAACAGCAAAGCAUCUCCCUUACGCUGAGAAGAUAUUCGUGCAAAUCGGAUUCCCUUGA
RNAcentral lists this transfer RNA (71 nucleotides) under Siphamia tubulata (siphonfish). Its description in RNAcentral is "tRNA-Val". It matches the Rfam family "tRNA". From Rfam's summary of the family: Transfer RNA (tRNA) molecules are approximately 80 nucleotides in length. Their secondary structure includes four short double-helical elements and three loops (D, anti-codon, and T loops). Lineage: Eukaryota; Metazoa; Chordata; Actinopteri; Kurtiformes; Apogonidae. RNAcentral also lists the same sequence under 1 other name. The record is from RNAcentral.